This is a long non-coding RNA of Melospiza melodia melodia, 812 nucleotides long. RefSeq lists it as uncharacterized. The transcript is spliced from 3 exons. NCBI's taxonomy places the organism in Eukaryota, Metazoa, Chordata, Aves, Passeriformes, Passerellidae. The record is from RefSeq and is a predicted model, not a curated record.
CAUCAGACCAUUCCUGCGCUCCACUAUAGCCAGCUGCUCCUUCAGGUCAUCAUUCUCCCUCAGGGCAUCGUCUAAAUGGAGCUGGGAGUCCUUGAAAGCCUCAGAGCAUCAUUUCUGCUCCUGACCUCGGCGUCCAGCAUGGUUUGCAUGGACUCUAAUACCCUCUGGUGAUUCCUCUUCAGCUGUUGAAUCUCCUCAUCUUUCUCUGCAGUCCUUCUGUCAACGUCUGACUUCACCUGGUUCAGCUCCAGCUGAACACGCGCUGGGCCAGCUUCUUCCUGCAGGAUGGGACAUUCAGCUCUGAGGAAAAGAAAAUUCUGACCUUCUCAGAAAAUGGACAUGGAAGGAGUUUGGAAUGGGGAAGAUGGGCACAGAGAGCAAUAUAUAAUGCUGUGGUGCCAGGAGCCUGGGGGUGGCACAGCAGUCUGAAGUGGUGCAUAGAUUGAGAGGAUAAGAACGGUACCAAUGUGGAGAUGGACCAAAAAUAUGCUUUCAAUACUGACAGGGUAAAGAAUGUGCUCUUUCAACUACUAUGAUUAACUCAGUACACUGGAAUCCUCCUUUAUGUGGACACCUCUAAGCCUCCACCCCUACUUUUCCUUUAAAUAUCCACUUACCCCCCUUUUCACUUCCAAUACAUUAAAAAGCACACUGCAGUGCAAAUUUCCACUACAAAUAUAUUCUGGUUUCCUUCAGCUCUGCCUUCAUUAUGCUUAAAUAUCCUUCUACUUGCUCCAAGCCACUCCUCCACAUACUUGGCCUCCUCGAGCUCCUCCGUGCGCUGAAUCGCGUCCGUCUCGUAUUUGGUUCUC